AUGGCAUCCGAGGGGUGCCCCGCCAGGGGGCUGAGAUACCGACGGCUCGCGAGAGCAGCGCGGUGACCCUGAGAACCUGAUCCGGUUCAUGCCGGCGUAGGGACGGGAAGACAGCACAGC
Acetobacteraceae bacterium SCN 69-10 is the source of this 120-nucleotide non-coding RNA. Lineage: Bacteria; Pseudomonadati; Pseudomonadota; Alphaproteobacteria; Acetobacterales; Acetobacteraceae. The record is from Rfam.